GGGACCUCCUCCUUUCAGGGAAUUAAAGCAAAGUCCUCGAGGUUCAUUCAUUCAGGAAGCCUCUGACCAGCCUUUACCAUGCGCUGAGUGAGAAGCUGAGGAUAAGGAAAGAGCAAGACCCCCAAGAAACCCUGAUGUCUGGCUGAAAGCCGAAGCAUGACGCAACUUUGCUAUAUUUCUCUCCAACAAGGAUUUGUAUAUUUUCGCUUUCUCCUCAAGUAACACCUGGACCUGCUCCUUUCCCUUCAAACGCUGAGGGCUCAGUCUCCAAGUUCCUUUAUGAAACAGGGUGUACCAUCAGAGACGCAGGUAUUUAUUGAAACCUGCUUUGUGCUGGGCAAUGUGUCAGAUGUUGGGGAUAAA
RNAcentral lists this long non-coding RNA (363 nucleotides) under Pan troglodytes (chimpanzee). RNAcentral's name for it is "long non-coding RNA NONPTRT011434". The record is from RNAcentral. Lineage: Eukaryota; Metazoa; Chordata; Mammalia; Primates; Hominidae.